This is an RNA transcript of Helianthus annuus (common sunflower), 1617 nucleotides long. RefSeq lists it as uncharacterized. Lineage: Eukaryota; Viridiplantae; Streptophyta; Magnoliopsida; Asterales; Asteraceae. The record is from RefSeq and is a predicted model, not a curated record. The transcript is spliced from 2 exons.
CUCAUCAUCAUCAUGUUCCCUCCCAUUUAUUUUUUUUCUGUAUCUUAUCUUCUAAAACUCCCACAUACAAGAACCAUAUCUUCAUAUCUUUCAAAUAUACACACACAUAUCUGCCUGCUUCUUUCUCGAUAGCUACCUGCAACACAAAGAGACUCCAUCCUCAAACUUUUACACCCCAGCUGACACCUACAACACCUGCAACCCCACCCUCUUCCUUCGAUCUGUGUAAACGACCACCACCACCACUGUCUGGUGGUGGCGAGACGACGAAACGGAGAAGAUCAAAAGAGUCGACGAGAGAGAGAGGGGGGUAAUCGGCUGUAGUUCGACGGCGUACAGCGGCGGUGGAGCCGUCUACAGCAGCGACGGUGGAGGGGUUUUAUUUCAUUCCAUUAGGGUCACCAGUUCAAGUCAGAUUUACGCUCAACAACGGAUUCAGAUAAGUUUUGGUUCAACAUUUCGGGUUCUGUUCGGUUCAAUGUCGGAGUAGAAUGGGUUUCGAUUCAAGAUGUGAACUCGGUUCAGUCAUGGCAUGGUUCAGAUUCAAGGCUCGGGUCUCGACAUCAGUUGGUUCAAGCUUCAGUUGGUUUUUUCCGGUUCGGGUUCGUCUGAGUUCAGUUUUGCUUCGGUUUCGACUAUCAUCGGCUCAGGUGGUUUAGUGCUUGUUUGGUUUCGGGUCUCGGUCAAAACGGGUCAGUGGUGGUGCUUGGCCCGGGUUUUAGCUUGGUUCACGUCGGGUCACGGUUCAAGUACGAGUAAUUCGGGUUUCGGGUCAGCCACGGUUCGAGCUUGGCUCGGGGGUUAUGGGUCAGACUCAACUUCGGUUUGGUUUGGUUUGGUUUGGUUCGAGAUGAUUCAAGGUCAGGUUGCUCGGUUCAGUCAGUUCGGAUCAGACCCGGUCAGCUGGUCAGGCACGGUCAAAGCAGGUCAACGAACAGAUUCGAGUCAUGCCGGUCAGCUGAGGUCAAACUCAGUCAACGCGAGCUCGGUAAACUUUUAACAACGUAAAUUUUAUUAAGUUAUUUAUAUUGUUUGUACAUGUUAUCUAGUUUAAAACCGAGUUCAAUAAGAUACACUUAUUGAUUUGUUAUGUUUUGACACAUCGAUGGAAAUGUUAUAUAUAUUUUGAUAUUUCGUUGAUUAUUGUUGCAUUUUGACCAAUAUAAGCGACAACUGAGUUGUCAGGAUCCUCCACAAACAGAUUUUCGGUGAAAAUACAUAUGAAUAUAUGUAUACAUUUUUAUAACCGAAACACCAUAAAAAAUGUAUCGGAACUCUAAUGAAGUUUAUAAAGUAAAUAUAAACGAAUAUAUUAUUUUAUGUCGACACUUUUAUAACUUCCAACGCUCUAAUUCUUUACUUAUGCGAGAACGAGACUCGUGUCCUUCAAGAACUGAAAGGUUACCUCGGUGUCCCAUCCUUCAACUCUUCAACUCUCCACGAGACAUGGAAUGCGUUGCGAAACUGAUUCUGAUGAUGCAAGGAAUCUAGUAGGAUUGCCUAGAAACGCAUUAAACUUUAAUACUUGUUGUAUCGUAUUGUAUUUUCAAACAUGUUGUAUUUUGUUUUCAAACCUUGUACUAAACCGUUAUUAUUGAAAUGAAAUUUUAUUUCUUU